This 201-nucleotide long non-coding RNA is filed under the name Homo sapiens (human). RNAcentral describes it as "HSALNT0242944". Lineage: Eukaryota; Metazoa; Chordata; Mammalia; Primates; Hominidae. The record is from RNAcentral.
UGUGUGGCCAACUGCCUGGGUUUGAUUCCCACCUUCACCACUUGGGAGCUGGUUGACCUUCAGGAAUCCACCUUUGCCUCAGUGUUCUCUCCUGUAAAGUGGGGAUAGCACUUGGUGUUACUAAUUUUGUGGAAGAACACAUAUGCUCUGCACUGCCAGCAUCCGAGUUGGUGGGGGUGGGGGUGGUGCUGCUGCUGGUGG